AUGAAACGGUUUUUGGCUUGGUUCGCGGAACCGCGGGGAAGCACGAGACGGUGGGCCGUUUGAAGUGAAUUGAAUAUCUCUCUUCCCCCUCCUCUCUCUCUCAUUGGGAAACUGGGAAAUCAAAAGCCCUAGAGGACUACGAACCAAAUUCAUCUUCAAAUUGUUGAAUUCGAAGUCACUAGGUUACUGGUUUGAACAUUGUAGCGUAUUUUCAAGCUGAAUACCAAGUACCAGAACCAAUGGCACAAGACUGAUCCUGAAUUACCAAAUUCUUGGUACAACGGAAGUUCUAAAUCCAAUUACGCAUAUAGGCACAAUGACAAAGAAUGAUAAAUUUAAGAGACCACU
Non-coding RNA from Prunus mume (Japanese apricot), 348 nucleotides. NCBI's taxonomy places the organism in Eukaryota, Viridiplantae, Streptophyta, Magnoliopsida, Rosales, Rosaceae. The record is from RefSeq and is a predicted model, not a curated record.